Aedes albopictus (Asian tiger mosquito) is the source of this 72-nucleotide non-coding RNA. Lineage: Eukaryota; Metazoa; Arthropoda; Insecta; Diptera; Culicidae. The record is from Rfam.
GGCUCAGUAGCUUAGUUGGAAAAGCACUUGUCUACCGAAUAAGGGUCGUAAGUUCAAAUCUCACCUGAGCUG